CCGGCAUACACAAAGGCCCGGGGGUGGCCGAGCCUGACGUGGUCUGUGGAAGGACAGCACCCACAGAUGAGGAGCUCUUGUCACUCCACACACGGACUUCACCUUGAUAUCUAGAGACAUAUGCACUAGCAGGGAGCUGAAUGGAAAUCUGGGUUGCAGGCUGCGGCCCAACCUGGUAUACCACAGUGCUGGCUCCUUAUACUCAUUAUCUGUUAAGUACCAGAAUGGAAGGCAUUUAUAAGGAUCUAUCAAUGACACUCUUGAAUUUCAUCAUUCAGGAAUAUGCUCCCUUUGUAAAUGUCAAAGAACCUAGCAGAUGUGUGGUAAGUUUUGAAAGAG
Ochotona princeps (American pika) is the source of this 339-nucleotide long non-coding RNA. RefSeq lists it as uncharacterized. The transcript is spliced from 3 exons. Lineage: Eukaryota; Metazoa; Chordata; Mammalia; Lagomorpha; Ochotonidae. The record is from RefSeq and is a predicted model, not a curated record.